This 253-nucleotide ribosomal RNA is filed under the name uncultured bacterium. RNAcentral describes it as "partial 16S ribosomal RNA". It matches the Rfam family "Bacterial small subunit ribosomal RNA", at positions 524 to 776 of the family's 1533-position model. The record is from RNAcentral.
UACGGAGGGGGCUAGCGUUGUUCGGAAUUACUGGGCGUAAAGCGCACGUAGGCGGCUUGGUAAGUUAGAGGUGAAAGCCCGGGGCUCAACCCCGGAAUUGCCUUUAAGACUGCCUCGCUUGAACGUCGGAGAGGUGAGUGGAAUUCCGAGUGUAGAGGUGAAAUUCGUAGAUAUCUGGAGGAACACCGGUGGCGAAAGCGGCUCACUGGACCUGAUCUGACACUGAGGUGCGAAAGCUAGGGUAGCAAACGGG